GGAGUUUGGGCCGUGUCUCAGUCCCAAUGUGGCCGGUCGCCCUCUCAGGCCGGCUACGGAUCAUCACCUUGGUAGGCCGUUACCCUGCCAACUAGUUAAUCCGACGCGGGCCCAUCCUGCACCGAUAAAUCUUUCCACCCGGUACCAUGCGGUACUGUGUGCAUAUGCGGUAUUAACAGUCGUUUCCAGCUGUUAUCCCCCAGUGCAGGGCAGGUUACCCACGUGUUACUCACCCAUCCGCCGCUAAGUCAAAUCCGAAAACUUGACUCCGCUCGACUUGCAUGUGUUAAGCCUGCCGCUAGCGUUCAUC
RNAcentral lists this ribosomal RNA (310 nucleotides) under uncultured Butyrivibrio sp. Its description in RNAcentral is "partial 16S ribosomal RNA". Lineage: Bacteria; Bacillati; Bacillota; Clostridia; Lachnospirales; Lachnospiraceae. The record is from RNAcentral.